UACGGAGGAUCCAAGCGUUAUCCGGAUUUAUUGGGUUUAAAGGGUGCGUAGGCGGAAUAGUAAGUCAGUGGUGAAAGCCUGUCGCUUAACGACAGAACUGCCAUUGAUACUGCUAAUCUUGAGUAUAAUUGAAGUGGGCGGAAUGUGUCGUGUAGCGGUGAAAUGCUUAGAUAUGACACAGAACACCGAUUGCGAAGGCAGCUCACUAAACUAUAACUGACGCUGAGGCACGAAAGCGUGGGGAGCAAACAGG
RNAcentral lists this ribosomal RNA (253 nucleotides) under uncultured bacterium. RNAcentral's name for it is "partial 16S ribosomal RNA". It matches the Rfam family "Bacterial small subunit ribosomal RNA", at positions 524 to 776 of the family's 1533-position model. The record is from RNAcentral.